AGCUUUGCGCAGUGGCAGUAUCGUAGCCAAUGAGGUUUAUCCGAGGCGCGAUUAUUGCUAAUUCAAAAUAAGCUGUUUUUCCAAUUCAAGGGGAGGAGAUGGUGUCCACUGCUGGUGAGGACCUCAGUCC
This 130-nucleotide small nuclear RNA is filed under the name Neogale vison (American mink). RNAcentral's name for it is "Neovison vison (American mink) U4 spliceosomal RNA (ENSNVIG00000020164.1)". It matches the Rfam family "U4 spliceosomal RNA". Rfam says of the family: U4 small nuclear RNA (U4 snRNA) is a component of the major U2-dependent spliceosome. Lineage: Eukaryota; Metazoa; Chordata; Mammalia; Carnivora; Mustelidae. The record is from Rfam by way of RNAcentral.